Dromiciops gliroides (monito del monte) is the source of this 105-nucleotide small nuclear RNA. The record is from RefSeq and is a predicted model, not a curated record. Lineage: Eukaryota; Metazoa; Chordata; Mammalia; Microbiotheria; Microbiotheriidae.
UGCUAACUUCAGCAGCAAUACACUAAAACUGGAAUGAUACAGAAGAAAUUAGCAUGGCCCCCACACAAGGGUGACACAUAAAUUCAUGAAACAUUCCAUAUUUUA